Molecule: ribosomal RNA, 873 nt
Filed under: uncultured bacterium
Lineage: Bacteria
Description: bacterial SSU rRNA
Rfam family: Bacterial small subunit ribosomal RNA
Source: RNAcentral
GAGUUUGAUCAUGGCUCAGAACGAACGCUGGCGGCGUGUCUUAAGCAUGCAAGUCGAGCGGCAAGGCGGGGCAACCCGCCCUAGAGCGGCGGACUGGUGAGUAACACGUGGGUGAUCUACCCUUGGUUUGGGGAUAGCCCGUGGAAACAUGGGGUAAUACCGAAUACGUCGUCCUGGCUACGGCCUGGACGGGAAAGGCGCCAAGGCGCCGACCGAGGAUGAGCCCGCGCCCCAUUAGCUAGUUGGUGAGGUAACGGCCCACCAAGGCGAUGAUGGGUAGCCGGCCUGAGAGGGUGUACGGCCACACUGGGACUGAGAUACGGCCCAGACUCCUACGGGAGGCAGCAGCUAAGAAUAUUCCGCAAUGGACGAAAGUCUGACGGAGCGACGCCGCGUGGAUGAAGAAGGCCGAAAGGUUGUAAAAUCCUUUUGUCGGGGAAGAAUAAGCCUGGGAGGGAAUGCCCGGGUGAUGACAUGAACCGGCGAAUAAGCCCCGGCUAACUACGUGCCAGCAGCCGCGGUAACACGUAGGGGGCGAGCGUUGUUCGGAAUUACUGGGCGUAAAGGGCAUGUAGGCGGUUUUGUAAGCCUGGCGUGAAAUUCUGCAGCUUAACUGUAGGGCUGCGCUGGGAACUGCGAGACUGGAGUCACGGAGAGGGAGCCAGAAUUCCAGGUGUAGGGGUGAAAUCUGUAGAUAUCUGGAAGAACACCAGUGGCGAAGGCGAGCUCCUGGCCAAUGAUUGACGCUGAGGUGCGAAAGUGUGGGGAUCAAACAGGAUUAGAUACCCUGGUAGUCCACGCUGUAAACGAUGUCAACUUGGAGUCUGUGCCAUUGAGCGUGGGCUCCGAAGCUAACGCGAUAAGUUGACCGCC